AGCGAACGCUGGCGGCGUGCUUAACACAUGCAAGUCGAGGGAGAACGGAGGGCUUCGGCCUUCUUAGUAAACCGGCGCACGGGUGAGUAACACGUAGGUAACCUACCUCCGAGUUCGGGAUAACCUGUCGAAAGAUAGGCUAAUACCGGAUAAGACCACGAUGGCUUCGGCCACUGCGGUCAAAGAUGGCCUCUAUUUAUAAGCUAUCGCUUGGGGAUGGGCCUGCGCACCAUUAGCUAGUUGGUGAGGUAAUGGCUCACCAAGGCUACGAUGGUUAGUUGGUCUGAGAGGAUGACCAGCCACACUGGGACUGAGACACGGCCCAGACUCCUACGGGAGGCAGCAGUGGGGAAUAUUGCGCAAUGGGGGAAACCCUGACGCAGCGACGCCGCGU
This 394-nucleotide ribosomal RNA is filed under the name uncultured bacterium. RNAcentral's name for it is "bacterial SSU rRNA". It matches the Rfam family "Bacterial small subunit ribosomal RNA", at positions 29 to 402 of the family's 1533-position model. The record is from RNAcentral.